GACGAACGCUGGCGGCGUGCUUAACACAUGCAAGUCGAACGGAAAGGCCCUGCUUUUGUGGGGUGCUCGAGUGGCGAACGGGUGAGUAACACGUGAGUAACCUGCCCUUGACUUUGGGAUAACUUCAGGAAACUGGGGCUAAUACCGGAUAGGAGCUCCUGCUGCAUGGUGGGGGUUGGAAAGUUUCGGCGGUUGGGGAUGGACUCGCGGCUUAUCAGCUUGUUGGUGGGGUAGUGGCUUACCAAGGCUUUGACGGGUAGCCGGCCUGAGAGGGUGACCGGCCACAUUGAGACUGAGAUACGGCCCAGACUCAUACGGGAGGCAGCAGUGGGGAAUAUUGCACAAUGGGCGGAAGCCUGAUGCAGCAACGCCGCGUGCGGGAUGACGGCCUUCGGGUUGUAAACCGCUUUCGCCUGUGACGAAGCGUGAGUGACGGUAAUGGGUAAAGAAGCACCGGCUAACUACGUG
This 468-nucleotide ribosomal RNA is filed under the name uncultured bacterium. RNAcentral describes it as "partial 16S ribosomal RNA". It matches the Rfam family "Bacterial small subunit ribosomal RNA", at positions 28 to 507 of the family's 1533-position model. The record is from RNAcentral.